This 2902-nucleotide ribosomal RNA is filed under the name Escherichia coli E110019. Its description in RNAcentral is "bacterial LSU rRNA". It matches the Rfam family "Bacterial large subunit ribosomal RNA". Lineage: Bacteria; Pseudomonadati; Pseudomonadota; Gammaproteobacteria; Enterobacterales; Enterobacteriaceae. The record is from RNAcentral.
GGUUAAGCGACUAAGCGUACACGGUGGAUGCCCUGGCAGUCAGAGGCGAUGAAGGACGUGCUAAUCUGCGAUAAGCGUCGGUAAGGUGAUAUGAACCGUUAUAACCGGCGAUUUCCGAAUGGGGAAACCCAGUGUGAUUCGUCACACUAUCAUUAACUGAAUCCAUAGGUUAAUGAGGCGAACCGGGGGAACUGAAACAUCUAAGUACCCCGAGGAAAAGAAAUCAACCGAGAUUCCCCCAGUAGCGGCGAGCGAACGGGGAGCAGCCCAGAGCCUGAAUCAGUGUGUGUGUUAGUGGAAGCGUCUGGAAAGGCGCGCGAUACAGGGUGACAGCCCCGUACACAAAAAUGCACAUACUGUGAGCUCGAUGAGUAGGGCGGGACACGUGGUAUCCUGUCUGAAUAUGGGGGGACCAUCCUCCAAGGCUAAAUACUCCUGACUGACCGAUAGUGAACCAGUACCGUGAGGGAAAGGCGAAAAGAACCCCGGCGAGGGGAGUGAAAAAGAACCUGAAACCGUGUACGUACAAGCAGUGGGAGCACAGAGCAAUCUGUGUGACUGCGUACCUUUUGUAUAAUGGGUCAGCGACUUAUAUUCUGUAGCAAGGUUAACCGAAUAGGGGAGCCGAAGGGAAACCGAGUCUUAACUGGGCGUUAAGUUGCAGGGUAUAGACCCGAAACCCGGUGAUCUAGCCAUGGGCAGGUUGAAGGUUGGGUAACACUAACUGGAGGACCGAACCGACUAAUGUUGAAAAAUUAGCGGAUGACUUGUGGCUGGGGGUGAAAGGCCAAUCAAACCGGGAGAUAGCUGGUUCUCCCCGAAAGCUAUUUAGUAGCGCCUCGUGAAUUCAUCUCCGGGGUAGAGCACUGUUUCGGCAGGGGUCAUCCCGACUUACCAACCCGAUGCAAACUGCGAAUACCGGAGAAUGUUAUCACGGGAGACACACGGCGGGUGCUAACGUCCGUCGUGAAGAGGGAAACAACCCAGACCGCCAGCUAAGGUCCCAAAGUCAUGGUUAAGUGGGAAACGAUGUGGGAAGGCCCAGACAGCCAGGAUGUUGGCUUAGAAGCAGCCAUCAUUUAAAGAAAGCGUAAUAGCUCACUGGUCGAGUCGGCCUGCGCGGAAGAUGUAACGGGGCUAAACCAUGCACCGAAGCUGCGGCAGCGACGCUGAUGCGUUGUUGGGUAGGGGAGCGUUCUGUAAGCCUGCGAAGGUGUACUGUGAGGUAUGCUGGAGGUAUCAGAAGUGCGAAUGCUGACAUAAGUAACGAUAAAGCGGGUGAAAAGCCCGCUCGCCGGAAGACCAAGGGUUCCUGUCCAACGUUAAUCGGGGCAGGGUGAGUCGACCCCUAAGGCGAGGCCGAAAGGCGUAGUCGAUGGGAAACAGGUUAAUAUUCCUGUACUUGGUGUUACUGCGAAGGGGGGACGGAGAAGGCUAUGUUGGCCGGGCGACGGUUGUCCCGGUUUAAGCGUGUAGGCUGGUUUUCCAGGCAAAUCCGGAAAAUCAAGGCUGAGGCGUGAUGACGAGGCACUACGGUGCUGAAGCAACAAAUGCCCUGCUUCCAGGAAAAGCCUCUAAGCAUCAGGUAACAUCAAAUCGUACCCCAAACCGACACAGGUGGUCAGGUAGAGAAUACCAAGGCGCUUGAGAGAACUCGGGUGAAGGAACUAGGCAAAAUGGUGCCGUAACUUCGGGAGAAGGCACGCUGAUAUGUAGGUGAAGUCCCUCGCGGAUGGAGCUGAAAUCAGUCGAAGAUACCAGCUGGCUGCAACUGUUUAUUAAAAACACAGCACUGUGCAAACACGAAAGUGGACGUAUACGGUGUGACGCCUGCCCGGUGCCGGAAGGUUAAUUGAUGGGGUCAGCGCAAGCGAAGCUCUUGAUCGAAGCCCCGGUAAACGGCGGCCGUAACUAUAACGGUCCUAAGGUAGCGAAAUUCCUUGUCGGGUAAGUUCCGACCUGCACGAAUGGCGUAAUGAUGGCCAGGCUGUCUCCACCCGAGACUCAGUGAAAUUGAACUCGCUGUGAAGAUGCAGUGUACCCGCGGCAAGACGGAAAGACCCCGUGAACCUUUACUAUAGCUUGACACUGAACAUUGAGCCUUGAUGUGUAGGAUAGGUGGGAGGCUUUGAAGUGUGGACGCCAGUCUGCAUGGAGCCGACCUUGAAAUACCACCCUUUAAUGUUUGAUGUUCUAACGUUGACCCGUAAUCCGGGUUGCGGACAGUGUCUGGUGGGUAGUUUGACUGGGGCGGUCUCCUCCUAAAGAGUAACGGAGGAGCACGAAGGUUGGCUAAUCCUGGUCGGACAUCAGGAGGUUAGUGCAAUGGCAUAAGCCAGCUUGACUGCGAGCGUGACGGCGCGAGCAGGUGCGAAAGCAGGUCAUAGUGAUCCGGUGGUUCUGAAUGGAAGGGCCAUCGCUCAACGGAUAAAAGGUACUCCGGGGAUAACAGGCUGAUACCGCCCAAGAGUUCAUAUCGACGGCGGUGUUUGGCACCUCGAUGUCGGCUCAUCACAUCCUGGGGCUGAAGUAGGUCCCAAGGGUAUGGCUGUUCGCCAUUUAAAGUGGUACGCGAGCUGGGUUUAGAACGUCGUGAGACAGUUCGGUCCCUAUCUGCCGUGGGCGCUGGAGAACUGAGGGGGGCUGCUCCUAGUACGAGAGGACCGGAGUGGACGCAUCACUGGUGUUCGGGUUGUCAUGCCAAUGGCACUGCCCGGUAGCUAAAUGCGGAAGAGAUAAGUGCUGAAAGCAUCUAAGCACGAAACUUGCCCCGAGAUGAGUUCUCCCUGACCCUUUAAGGGUCCUGAAGGAACGUUGAAGACGACGACGUUGAUAGGCCGGGUGUGUAAGCGCAGCGAUGCGUUGAGCUAACCGGUACUAAUGAACCGUGAGGCUUAACCUU